Non-coding RNA from Acanthosepion pharaonis, 113 nucleotides. The record is from the annotation of a GenBank genome assembly. NCBI's taxonomy places the organism in Eukaryota, Metazoa, Mollusca, Cephalopoda, Sepiida, Sepiidae.
UUACGGUCAUAUCGCGUUGUAACACCAGUUCUCGUACGAACCUCGAAGUUAAGCAACGUCUAAACUAAUCAGUAACUUGAUGCGUGACUGCUUGCGAAUAGCAGGUGCUGUAA